RNAcentral lists this transfer RNA (77 nucleotides) under Methylopila capsulata. RNAcentral's name for it is "tRNA-His". It matches the Rfam family "tRNA". From Rfam's summary of the family: Transfer RNA (tRNA) molecules are approximately 80 nucleotides in length. The record is from RNAcentral. Lineage: Bacteria; Pseudomonadati; Pseudomonadota; Alphaproteobacteria; Hyphomicrobiales; Methylopilaceae. RNAcentral also lists the same sequence under 2 other names.
GCCGCCAUAGCUCAGUUGGUUAGAGCGCUAGAUUGUGGAUCUAGAGGUCCCUGGUUCGAGCCCAGGUGGUGGUACCA